Long non-coding RNA from Syngnathoides biaculeatus (alligator pipefish), 511 nucleotides. RefSeq lists it as uncharacterized. NCBI's taxonomy places the organism in Eukaryota, Metazoa, Chordata, Actinopteri, Syngnathiformes, Syngnathidae. The record is from RefSeq and is a predicted model, not a curated record. The transcript is spliced from 3 exons.
GCAAACACACACGCCAGGCGCCAAGAAGCAAGCGCGGCAUGAAGGGCGACGCCAACGGAUGACGGCCGAUGUUUAUCGUUGGGCCCGCAAGGUCGCGACCUUCAGAGGGCCCCUUUGUAAUCUGCCCUCACGUGCAGUCGCACGUUAGAGCGCCGCCUAGUGGUGCGGGAUGCCCCCGACAACCUUCACUGCGUAUUUCGUGCGAUUUCGUCGCCUCGGCGUCCGGGCAAACGCAUCGAAAGCUCCCGCAAGUCCUAUGGAAGACGUCCGUCCCGGUCGCAUCCGCGCAGGACGCCGCCCGCCUGCCCUGGCCCCAACCCAAUAGAGGACCAGUGAGGAGAGCCGAAGCUCCAAACGACAUCCACCAAACUUAAAGUGGAGCACUUGGAUGCGCCUGAAUGAUCAACCUUCAGACAUUUUAGGUUGACUUUGCUGCGGAUGAUUAUGGGUGACGUCUGCGCUGACCAACAGACCAAACAAACACACCGCAAAGGUCGUGUGGAAAGUGCAA